AUUAUAUUAAAAAUAAUUAUAUUAAUUAAAUUUUGUUUUAUUAUUUUAUAAAGAAUAAAUAAUUUAAAUUAUAGUUUAAAAGUAUUUUAAAAGAAUAUUGAAAUAAAUUGAAAAAUUUUUAUAUAAAAAGAAUUUUUAAUUUAAAGUACCUUGUGUAUCAGUGUUUAUUAAUUAAAAAAUAUAUUUAUAUUUUUCUCGAUUUUAAAAGAGUUAAUAAAUUAUUAUAAAUAACGUUUUAAAGUUUAUUAUUUAUAAUUUAUUAGAAAUGAAAUGUUAUUCGUUUUUAAAGGUAUCUAGUUUUUUAAGAAAUAAAUUUAAUUUAGUUUUUUAAAAGUUUUUAUUUAAUUUUUAAUAAAAAAUUUUUAUAAAAUAUUAUUUUAUGGGAUAAGCUAUAAAAUAUAAUUAUUAAAAAUAAAUAAGUUAUAUUAAAAAUACAUAUUCUUAGAAUUAGAAAUUGUUGAUAAUUUUGUUAUAAAUUAUUUUUGAUAUUAAAUUAUUUAAUGUUUAUUUUAAUUGUUUUAUUAAAAUAUUUAUUUUAAUUUUAAAAAUAAAUUAAUAAUGAUAAAAUUAGUAUAUAUUUUAUUUAAUAGAUAAUUUUAUAAUGAUAAUUUUAAAUAAAGAAUUCGGCAAAUAAUAAAUGUUCGCCUGUUUAACAAAAACAUGUCCUUUUGUAUUUAUUUAUAAGGUCUAACCUGCCCACUGAAAAAUUUAAAUGGCCGCAGAAUUUUAACUGUGCAAAGGUAGCAUAAUCAUUAGUCUUUUAAUUGAAGGCUUGUAUGAAUGGUUGAACGAAACAUAAACUGUUUCAUUUAAAUUUAUAAUAGAAUUUUAUUUUUUAGUUAAAAAGCUAAAAUUUAAUUGAAAGACGAGAAGACCCUAUAGAUCUUUAUAUUAAACAAAUUUUGAUUAUAAAGAUAUUUUUAAUUAAUAAUUUAUAAAAUAUUUUAUUGGGGUGAUAUUAAAAUUUAAUUAACUUUUAAUAAUUAUUUUACAUAAAUUAGUGAAUUUAAUGAUCCUUUAUUAAUGAUUAAAAAAUUAAGUUACCUUAGGGAUAACAGCGUAAUUUUUUUAGAGAGUUCAUAUCGAUAAAAAAGAUUGCGACCUCGAUGUUGGAUUAAGAAAUAAUUUUAGGCGCAGUUGUUUAAAAUUUAAGUCUGUUCGACUUUUAAAUUCUUACAUGAUCUGAGUUCAAACCGGCGUAAGCCAGGUUGGUUUCUAUCUUUAAUUAAUUAAAAUAUUUUAGUACGAAAGGGCCAAAUAUUUAAAAAAUAAUUUUUUUAGAAAUUGAAUUAAAUUAAAUUUUAUAA
Molecule: ribosomal RNA, 1307 nt
Filed under: Leptopeza flavipes
Lineage: Eukaryota; Metazoa; Arthropoda; Insecta; Diptera; Hybotidae
Description: 16S ribosomal RNA
Rfam family: Archaeal large subunit ribosomal RNA (bases 1051-1210)
Source: RNAcentral